This is a long non-coding RNA of Colletes gigas, 1921 nucleotides long. RefSeq lists it as uncharacterized. The transcript has 3 exons. The record is from RefSeq and is a predicted model, not a curated record. Lineage: Eukaryota; Metazoa; Arthropoda; Insecta; Hymenoptera; Colletidae.
GUAACUUUCUUCGAGGAAAUUGUGUUAUUCAAGAAAUAUAACAUGCAGUUCGUUAAGGAUGUGGAAUCGCGCGUUAAAAUUAUGUGUAAAAUCGCGAAGGAUGGAAAGAUGCGAGUGCAAACAGAUCGUGCAAACGGAAACUAUGUUACGGGUAUCUGAUAAAUGAAAAAAAAUUGGAAAACGCGAGUUUGUAUGCGGAUGUAUUGGUACGAGGACAAGAUCGAAGCCGUCAACGAUGGUGCCGUUAUCGGAAGCGCAUUCCGACGAUUUGGCCUUCGAGCUCACCUCCUCGUACCGACGUUGUUUGGAACGGCCGCAUCGUCGUUCCGCGUCUUCCUGAGGAAAAGCCGUGUAAAAACCAUCGUACAACGCGUAGCAUAUGGAUAUAACACUCGUGUCGCAUGCACUGACAGAAAGUGUUACAAAAUCAUGCCACCGACCGAACGUUUGCGAGACGAGCAACAAAUAAAGAAUGAGGCAACGGAUGAAAAGGAGAAGAGACGAAUAAGAAAUCACCUUUGGCAUAAUAUGGGGAGGUUGGGUUCAAUGGAAUGCCGAUCUAGUAACAGGCGUGGUAUGUGACCGUCACAUACCUAACUUAACCGUGGUUUUGUUUUUCGUGUAAAUUCCUUAUAUCAGGCAGGACCGUAUUAUUUGCAUUUCUCAGCUAACGAUCAAGAAGAUCUUUGAAAAAAUGAAUCAACAUUCCGAGUAAAGGUAUUUUUCUUAACGAAUUAUGAUUAAAAUUUACAUGAUAGGAGAAAUUUGGGAUUUCAAUUAAAUUUACGUAUCAUCCGACAUGAUAUUAAAUCGUAGAUUUUUUAUAUUCGCUAUUUGGUCGAAAAGUAGAACAAACGAGUUAAUUACGCAUCCAACCAGAUCUAUAACUACCAUAUACUGGUUUGAACGCGGCACCCUUUCGCACCACGAAAAAAAAAAAAAAAAAAAAAAGAAUACGAAGUUUUGUACAGUGAGUCACUCGUAGGCGUGCCUUGGAUUAAUCCCAAGCACCUGUAUUCAAGCUAGGUAAGCUUCUAACACGCUACUAGCAACCCCCGAAACCUUCUAAAUCUCGUGUCAGUCAAAGUUUAAUUCCAAUUACAAAGAAAAUGCAUAACAGGAACUGCAAUAAUCACAUCGUUUCAAUGAAAUACGUUUUAUUGAUCGACUUGAACGAUUACAUGUACUGUACAAAAGGGACUUGUACCAUUAAGCUCAAUAGACAUUGGAUAUAACUGUAGUAAAUCAUUUACUAAAAACUAUCAAAAUAGGAUAAUGCUAAAGAUAAAAAAAAAAUAAUUCUUUUCCUCUUUUUCAUUGUUAUUUGGUAUGUUUGAGAACUGCUGUUGUUUCAUACAGAAAAAGGCACGUACACUUCAAAUUUUGCUUGAGUUAACGGAUCGAUGUUCCAAAAGAGUGAGCAUGUUGCACCCCUUCUUUUUUAGGCACUGUUAACAACUCGGUGACUAACGUGAAGCGACAAAUUUAAUAAAGCUAACGGAAUAUAUUACAUCACCUUCAACCCUUGAAAUAUUCGUCACAUACGUGCAUGUGCAUAACUUCGUUAUAUUUGAAACGGCUAUCGGGUUUUAUAAUAGUCUAAAAAUAUUUCCUAAUAUCGAGGUCGAUGGAUAAUACAGUUUCGGAAUAGAAACAUACAAUUAAAUGAACGAGCAACGCGAAACAAUAUAAGUACAACAGAAUAAAUACAAACGGUGCUAAUUGAUUAAGUUUGAUUAUUACCAUCUUUUUAUCUAUACGCGUUUACGUCACUUUUGUUAUGCAAUUUUGUAUAACCACGUAAAAAUAGGACUUACGUAUUGUUAAAUAUUUCGCUAAAGCAACAGAAUUAUACUGCACAUCCUGGCAUUGAAAUCACUCGAUAAAUUCAGUGAUCGCGACGCUGCUACAAUAUCAGUGA